UCAGCGGACUACAAGAAGCAGAGCCACCCUCAAUCUGGGUAGACACCAUCUAAUCAGCUACCAGCAAGGCAAAAAAAAAGCAGGCAGGAGAAGAUGGAAGAGCAGACUUGCUGAGACUUCUGGCCUUCAUCUUUCUCUUGUGCUAGAUGCUUCCUGCCCUUGAACAUCAGACUCCAAGUUCUUCAGCUUUUGGAAUCUUGGACUUAUAUCGGUAAUUUGCCAGAGACCCUUGGGCCUUUGGCCACAGACUGAAGGCUGCACUGUUGGCUUCCCUAUUUUUGAGGUUUUGGGACUCGCACUGAUCCACCACUGGCUUCCUUGGCUCCUCAACUUGCAGCCGGCCUAUCAUGGGACUUACCUAGUGAUCAUGAAUGCUGUGACCUCUGAGAUAAUUCACCCACCGGAGUCAGACUGCUGAAGAACACUGGAUGGGUGGAAAAGGAACAUCUCAAGCAGGAGAGAAGGAACUGAGUCAAGAAAGGGCUGCAUCUGGUGAACAUGUCCCUCCCAGUGAUGGAACUCAGGGCUGCUGCAGCCAAGAGUCUAUAACAGUGGAGACGCCUUGAGCAAAGCCCCAGAGCCCUCGAGCUGCCUGUUCCCCUCCUCUGACAUGAUGGGUAAUCUGAUGGAAGCUCUGAGAGGCACUGCCUAGAAUUAAGCCCUAUGUGUAAACGAAGCAACGAAGAAAGAACAUGUGCUAUCAAAUAUGAUUCAUGAUUCAAAUAUAUUUUAAUAUCUUAUUCUUUUCGCACUCUGAGAAACUAUUCUGAUAAUGUGAUUGUUUUCUAAAGGAGUGUAUCUUU
RNAcentral lists this long non-coding RNA (803 nucleotides) under Pan troglodytes (chimpanzee). Its description in RNAcentral is "lincRNA". Lineage: Eukaryota; Metazoa; Chordata; Mammalia; Primates; Hominidae. The record is from RNAcentral.